CUCUGAACGUGGCCGUGGGUACGGUGUGGUCCCUGUGUCCCCAGGGAUGAGCUCAGGGUGUAGUCGGCCACCCUGGGCCUGAUCCAGAGAGUGCUGGCAUCAGCUGGGGCUUCUGCUGAUGUCGCUGCCUUUGGCUUUUGGUCUGUGCCACUAACUGGUACCACUGAAACUUUUUCUCCCCCUCCCUCCACGUAGAGUAGCGUGUUUUCACACCCGGCGAGCGCUUCGGCAGAGAUGUGAUAUGCAGGAGAAGCCAGGAAGCAUUUGCUAGGUGGAAUUCAGAGACGCUCUGUGCUAGAGAUCAGCAGCGUCUUUGAGACCGUUCUUAGAGGUCCUGGCAAGCAAACUUUAUUCCAGAGCUUCGAAAGGUAUGGCCAGGCUGGGAGCGCCUAACGUCGUGCCACUGAGGACGCGCGUCAGCGCCGGCCGUGCUGAGGCACAGCGGUGUUCAAAUCUCUCCUGAGAACAUUUUUUCUGAGUGACUCCAGCUUCCAGACACAUUUGCCAUGAGAAGGGUUCCAAUCCUUUCCUGUAUUUGCCCUGAGUCAUGAAUGGAUAUGUGUGAUGCCUGCAAGUAAAACUGGACAAAGAGAAGAGGAGAUUUCCUUGCUUGGAGCCAGGACUAGCAUGAAAUGCUUUUUGCUCCUGUGGGAAUCAACACUCCGGCGGAGAAAUAUGGUUUCAGUAAAUCCAUGGUGUUUUCUUCUUAAUAGAGGAGCUAAGUAAAAUGAACUCCUCAAAAAUCAAUAUUCAAAGCAAUCUUAGUGAGCAUGUGCUGAGAAAACAACUUUUGGGGCACAUUUAAAGGAAUAGAUGUAGUAAACGAGUAAAUUUGCCCCGUGGUUAAAUGCUGCAGUGCUUUGUGUGAAUACUAAACAGGAACAUGUCCCAUCAAGUACAGUUUCUCCAUAAUUUAUUAGCAUAAUAUGUUUGUUUUAAAUGCAUGGGAAUGUAAACAUAUAUAUAAUGGAAUGAUCAUGCCUUUUAGCAGAAAAAACUGUUCAAAACUAUUAGUGCCAUUAGCUUAGUUUGGGGAAAAGUUAUUUCAUGAUAUGGAUGAUUUCUUUCCAAACAUCAACUCUCAUAAGGAUAAGGUUGCAAAUCCAGAUCCAGAGAAAGGCAUGGGAGAAAGUAUCACGGGUGACUUGAAUGCAAGACUCCAAAAAUCUCUUAUUUGUGAUUAAAGCUGUGGCUGGGCCUCUUGUCCUUGCUUACUUUUAAGCAUUUGCUGCUGCUGGCCUCUCCAGGUAGGGCCUUGAGGGGUGGAAAAGCUGGAUUUGCCUUACCUCAGAGUAGAAAAUAGCUCAGCUUUAUUGGGAACCUGGUUCUUGCCCAUGGGGAGAGAGAGGAGGGAAGGGCAGUGGCAGUGGGGAGCUGUGGUUUCAUUCUGAUGUAGAACAUCAUCCCCAGAAAAAUGGUGUUCUGGGCCAUGCCUCCUCCCACGGCAGGGGAAAACAGAUGAAAAGCAAUGAAGCACACAAUUACAUAAUGAAAAACAAUAAAGUGCGUUUUCUAAUAUGUACUACUAGUGAC
Molecule: long non-coding RNA, 1533 nt
Filed under: Zonotrichia albicollis (white-throated sparrow)
Lineage: Eukaryota; Metazoa; Chordata; Aves; Passeriformes; Passerellidae
Description: lncRNA (ENSZALG00000012094.1)
Source: RNAcentral